Molecule: ribosomal RNA, 252 nt
Filed under: uncultured Bacteroidales bacterium
Lineage: Bacteria; Pseudomonadati; Bacteroidota; Bacteroidia; Bacteroidales
Description: partial 16S ribosomal RNA
Rfam family: Bacterial small subunit ribosomal RNA
Source: RNAcentral
UACGGAGGAUGCGAGCGUUAUCCGGAUUUAUUGGGUUUAAAGGGUGCGCAGGCGGAAUGUCAAGUCAGCGGUAAAAUUUCGGGGCUCAACCCCGGCCCGCCGUUGAAACUGGCAGUCUCGAGUUGGAGAGAAGUAUGCGGAAUGCGCGGUGUAGCGGUGAAAUGCAUAGAUAUCACGCAGAACCCCGAUUGCGAAGGCAGCAUACCGGUGCACAACUGACGCUCAGGCACGAAAGCGUGGGUAUCGAACAGG